AACCUCUACGAAAGAGAGGCUAAUAACCCAAAAGGGUCAAGAAAUGAUCAGAGUCGAAAGGCGUGAGGAGAGGAGCCCGCGGCCCAUCAGCUAGUUGGUGAGGUAAUGGCUUACCAAGGCUACGACGGGUAGGGGAUCUGAGAGGAUGUCCCCCACACUGGAACUGAAACACGGUCCAGACGCCUACGGGUGGCAGCAGUGAGGAAUAUUGGACAAUGGGCGAAAGCCCGAUCCAGCAACGCCGCGUGGAGGAUGAAGGCCUUCGGGUCGUAAACUUCUUUAGAGGGAGACGAGAAAGGACGGUAUCCCUAGAAUAAGCGACGGCAAACUACGUG
This 335-nucleotide ribosomal RNA is filed under the name uncultured bacterium. RNAcentral describes it as "bacterial SSU rRNA". It matches the Rfam family "Bacterial small subunit ribosomal RNA", at positions 145 to 507 of the family's 1533-position model. The record is from RNAcentral.